UGCAUGUCUCAGUACUUGCUUUAACAAGGCGAAACCGCGAAUGGCUCAUUAAAUCAGUUAUGGUUCACUAGAUCGUAAAUCCUACACGGAUAACUGUGGUAAUUCUAGAGCUAAUACGUGCAAACGGCUCGUUCCCUUGUGGAGCGAGCGCAGUUAUUAGAACAAAACCAAUCCGGCCUUCGGGUCGGUUAAAAUGGUGACUCUGAAUAACCGAAGCGGAGCGUAUGGUCUCGUACCGACGCCAGAUCUUUCAAGUGACUGCUCUAUCAGCUUGUUGCUAGGUUAUGCUCCUAGCAAGGCUUCAACGGGUAACGGGGUAUCAGGGUCCGAUACCGGAGAGGGAGCCUGAGAAACGGCUACCACAUCCAAGGAAGGCAGCAGGCGCGCAAAUUACCCACUCCCAGCACGGGGAGGUAGUGACGAAAAAUAACGAUGCGAGGGCAUAUUGCUUCUCGUAAUCGGAAUGGGUACACUUUAAAUCCUUUAACGAGGAUCUAUUGGAGGGCAAGUCUGGUGCCAGCAGCCGCGGUAAUUCCAGCUCCAAUAGCGUAUAUUAAAGUUGCUGCGGUUAAAAAGCUCGUAGUUGGAUCUGGGCAGCUGGAUGUGCGGUGCGCUUUACAGCGUUACUGCUCGUUUGGCGCCACAAGCCGGCCAUGUCUUGCAUGCUCUUCACUGGGUGUGCUUGGCGACCGGAACGUUUACUUUGAAAAAAUUAGAGUGCUCAAAGCAGGCGUAUGGCCUUGCAUAAUGGUGCAUGGAAUAAUGGAAUAGGACCUCGGUUCUAUUUUGUUGGUUAUCGGAGCUCGAGGUAAUGAUUAAGAGGAACAGACGGGGGCAUUCGUAUUGCGGCGUUAGAGGUGAAAUUCUUGGAUCGUCGCAAGACGAACUA
RNAcentral lists this ribosomal RNA (889 nucleotides) under Mesobiotus hilariae. RNAcentral describes it as "SSU rRNA". It matches the Rfam family "Eukaryotic small subunit ribosomal RNA", at positions 52 to 942 of the family's 1831-position model. The record is from RNAcentral. Lineage: Eukaryota; Metazoa; Tardigrada; Eutardigrada; Parachela; Macrobiotidae.